UAGGGAAUAUUGGACAAUGGGUGAGAGCCUGAUCCAGCCAUGCCGCGUGCAGGAAGAAGGCGUUAUGCGUUGUAAACUGCUUUUUGCCAGGGGAUAAAAAGACCGUGCGCGGUUAAUUGAAGGUACCUGGUGAAUAAGCCACGGCUAACUACGUGCCAGCAGCCGCGGUAAUACGUAGGUGGCAAGCGUUGUCCGGAUUUAUUGGGUUUAAAGGGUGCGUAGGUGGCCCUGUAAGUCAGUGGUGAAAUAUCUCAGCUUAACUGAGGGGGUGCCAUUGAUACUGCAGGGCUUGAGUACAGAUGAGGUAGGCGGAAUUGACGGUGUAGCGGUGAAAUGCAUAGAUAUCGUCAAGAACACCGAUAGCGAAGGCAGCUUACCAAGCUGUAACUGACACUGAGGCACGAAAGUGUGGGGAUCAAACAGGAUUAGAUACCCCGGUAGUCCCUGAGCGGGCUGGCAAGGCGCAU
This 467-nucleotide ribosomal RNA is filed under the name uncultured bacterium. Its description in RNAcentral is "bacterial SSU rRNA". It matches the Rfam family "Bacterial small subunit ribosomal RNA", at positions 355 to 825 of the family's 1533-position model. The record is from RNAcentral.